This 59-nucleotide microRNA precursor is filed under the name Anolis carolinensis (green anole). RNAcentral's name for it is "Aca-Mir-194-P4_pre stem-loop". It matches the Rfam family "mir-194 microRNA precursor family", at positions 14 to 72 of the family's 82-position model. From Rfam's summary of the family: The hairpin precursors (represented here) are predicted based on base pairing and cross-species conservation -- their extents are not known. In this case the mature sequence is excised from the 5' arm of the hairpin. Lineage: Eukaryota; Metazoa; Chordata; Lepidosauria; Squamata; Anolidae. The record is from RNAcentral.
UGUAACAGCAACUCCAUGUGGAAGCAGUCCGGCCGUUCCAGUGGAGCGGCUGUUAUAGU